RNAcentral lists this ribosomal RNA (166 nucleotides) under uncultured bacterium. RNAcentral describes it as "partial 16S rRNA". It matches the Rfam family "Bacterial small subunit ribosomal RNA", at positions 353 to 511 of the family's 1533-position model. The record is from RNAcentral.
AGGGGGGAAUCUUCCACAAUGGGCGAAAGCCUGAUGGAGCAACGCCGCGUGUGUGAUGAAGGGUUUCGGCUCGUAAAACACUGUUGUAAGAGAAGAAUGACAUUGAGAGUAACUGUUCAAUGUGUGACGGUAUCUUACCAGAAAGGAACGGCUAAAUACGUGCCAG